ACCUGCGGAAGGAUCAUUAACGAACGA
Molecule: ribosomal RNA, 27 nt
Filed under: Plectostoma mirabile
Lineage: Eukaryota; Metazoa; Mollusca; Gastropoda; Architaenioglossa; Diplommatinidae
Description: Opisthostoma mirabile partial 18S ribosomal RNA
Source: RNAcentral